Molecule: ribosomal RNA, 407 nt
Filed under: Mangabea barbiger
Lineage: Eukaryota; Metazoa; Arthropoda; Insecta; Hemiptera; Reduviidae
Description: partial 28S ribosomal RNA
Rfam family: Eukaryotic large subunit ribosomal RNA
Source: RNAcentral
CUUGAAACACGGACCAAGGAGUUCUUCGUGUACGCGAGUCAUUGGGUAUUGAAAACCCAAAGGCGAAAUAAAAGUAAAAAAAGAGAGAAUUACUGAGGCAAAAAUUUUUUUUUGUUUAUCAUUUUUCUCUCGAGGGAAGAUGGAAAGAUUUAUCAAUUUAUUGAUUUUGAUUUCUAGCAUUCCCGGGGCGCUUGUUUUUUGCUUUGCAAGUCAAUGCGCACCUAGAGCGUACACGCUGAUACCCGAAAGAUGGUGAACUAUGCCUGGCCAGGACGAAGCCAGGGGAAACCCUGGUGGAGGUCCGCAGCGAUUCUGACGUGCAAAUCGAUCGUCGGAGCUGGGUAUAGGGGCGAAAGACCAAUCGAACCAUCUAGUAGCUGGUUCCCUCUGAAGUUUCCCUCAGGAUA